This 496-nucleotide ribosomal RNA is filed under the name uncultured bacterium. RNAcentral's name for it is "partial 16S ribosomal RNA". It matches the Rfam family "Bacterial small subunit ribosomal RNA", at positions 30 to 507 of the family's 1533-position model. The record is from RNAcentral.
AUGAACGCUGGCGGCGUGCCUAAUACCUGCAAGUCGAGCGAACAGACGAGGAGCUUGCUCCUCUGACGUUAGCGGCGGACGGGUGAGUAACACGUGGAUAACCUACCUAUAAGACUGGGAUAACUUCGGGAAACCGGAGCUAAUACCGGAUAAUAUAUUGAACCGCAUGGUUCAAUAGUGAAAGACGGUUUUGCUGUCACUUAUAGAUGGAUCCGCGCCGCAUUAGCUAGUUGGUAAGGUAACGGCUUACCAAGGCAACGAUGCGUAGCCGACCUGAGAGGGGGAUCCGCCACACUGGAACAGGGACACGGUGCAAAACCCCCCGGGGGGGAAGAAUAGGGAAACUUCCGGAAAGGGGGAAAAGCCUAAGGGGGAAACCCCGGGGAGGGAUGAAAGGCUUUGGGUUUGAAAACCUUUUUAAUUGGGAAAAAAAAAAUUUGAAAGAACCAUGCACCGCUUGAAGGGACCCAAACAAAAAAGCCCGGCCAAACACCGG